Molecule: ribosomal RNA, 738 nt
Filed under: Pediococcus pentosaceus
Lineage: Bacteria; Bacillati; Bacillota; Bacilli; Lactobacillales; Lactobacillaceae
Description: bacterial SSU rRNA
Rfam family: Bacterial small subunit ribosomal RNA
Source: RNAcentral
GCAAGUCGAACGAACUUCCGUUAAUUGAUUAUGACGUACUUGUACUGAUUGAGAUUUUAACACGAAGUGAGUGGCGAACGGGUGAGUAACACGUGGGUAACCUGCCCAGAAGUAGGGGAUAACACCUGGAAACAGAUGCUAAUACCGUAUAACAGAGAAAACCGCAUGGUUUUCUUUUAAAAGAUGGCUCUGCUAUCACUUCUGGAUGGACCCGCGGCGUAUUAGCUAGUUGGUGAGGUAAAGGCUCACCAAGGCAGUGAUACGUAGCCGACCUGAGAGGGUAAUCGGCCACAUUGGGACUGAGACACGGCCCAGACUCCUACGGGAGGCAGCAGUAGGGAAUCUUCCACAAUGGACGCAAGUCUGAUGGAGCAACGCCGCGUGAGUGAAGAAGGGUUUCGGCUCGUAAAGCUCUGUUGUUAAAGAAGAACGUGGGUAAGAGUAACUGUUUACCCAGUGACGGUAUUUAACCAGAAAGCCACGGCUAACUACGUGCCAGCAGCCGCGGUAAUACGUAGGUGGCAAGCGUUAUCCGGAUUUAUUGGGCGUAAAGCGAGCGCAGGCGGUCUUUUAAGUCUAAUGUGAAAGCCUUCGGCUCAACCGAAGAAGUGCAUUGGAAACUGGGAGACUUGAGUGCAGAAGAGGACAGUGGAACUCCAUGUGUAGCGGUGAAAUGCGUAGAUAUAUGGAAGAACACCAGUGGCGAAGGCGGCUGUCUGGUCUGCAACUGACGCUGAG